Long non-coding RNA from Marmota monax (woodchuck), 1699 nucleotides. RefSeq lists it as uncharacterized. The record is from RefSeq and is a predicted model, not a curated record. NCBI's taxonomy places the organism in Eukaryota, Metazoa, Chordata, Mammalia, Rodentia, Sciuridae. The transcript has 2 exons.
ACCAGUGGAGCUGCGUCUUUGGGAAGUUCCUUCAGGAAAAAAAUAAGACCCCUUCAUUUGUCUAUGUUCCCUUAACUCUUUUCAGCUUUGAUGAACAGGACCACCUCAGGAAAAAGAAGUGCCCACCCCCAGGUGAAUUUACAUCCUGUUCUUCCUGAACCAGAUUUUUACCAUGGAUUCCUUGACCCACUCUGUUUCUAAAAACGGACUCCAAACUGCUGCCCACUGCACAUCACCCCCUCUCAGCUCAAAGCAGCAAGAACAGUCAUCGCCCUUUUCCUUUACAGCAGUAGGAGGUCCCUAACAUUAGAGAAAAAAAAAUUAUGGUCAUUAUAGAUAUUUGCCAAUAUGUCUAGCUCAGGAAGAUGUACCUGGGGAACUACUCCCAAGAUCACAUUGGGUGAUCUCCCAGAAAGAGACACUUGCUUCCACAACCCAACUUAUAAGUGAGACAACUCCCUGUUCACCAAAAAUUGUGCUUCCUGGGUCUCACUUCAAACUCCUUGCCUGAAUCUCCAAACUAUCAAUAACUCUGAACUAUGUAACCUACUAUUUUGAUGGAGUAAAAGGAAAAGAACACCUGGACUUAUUAAAAGGCCAGGGCCCACUGAUUUAUCAACAUAGAUGGGCUAUCCACAUUUUAGUUCCCCUCUGACUGGUUUGGGAAUAGCUAGAUCUACUGCUUUAGGAACUGCAGCUCUUAUCACAGGCUCUAAAAAAAAAUCAAGUCCCUUAGCCAUCAAAUAGAUAUAGAUUUAGGAGAACUAGAAAGGUCAAUCUCCAAACUAGAGGUUUCACUAGACUCUGUGACAGAAAUAGUCUUACAAAACAGAUGAGGUCUAGAUCAUCUCUUUCUAAAACAAGGAGGACUUUGUAUGGCUCUAGGAGAAACUUGCUGUUUCUAUGCAGCUGGGAUAAUAAAGGACAGUUUGGCACUAGUGAGAAACAGGUUAAAGGAUAGAGAGAAAGUGCAAGAAACUUCAGGCAAUUGGUUCCAAAAUCUAUUCUCAUGGUCCCCUUGGUUGACUACCAUCAUUUCAGCCAUAGUUGGGCCCCUAGUCCUUCUCCUGAUUGGGAUUACUGUAGGACCCUGCCUCUUAAAAACCCUCUUAAACCAUACACACAAUAAUGUAGGUGAGGUCUGACUUAUGGUCUUGCGAGCCCAGAGUGGUCCCUUAGAGAAGGAUGGAAAAGAAACUGAGGCCUAAUGAUAUGCAAGAUUGACAUCAAACCUACUAAAACCAGUGGGGAAUGUGAUAGUAAAAGCAAAUGUGACUCCAUUUUGUUUUUAUAAGUGGGACAACUCUGUAAAACAACCAUGCUAUUCUGUAAAACAACCAUGCCAAGUACAAGGGUCAUGACUGGGGCAAGAUGUUCUUUUCCUUUUGCUAUAGAAACCUUUAAGAACACAGAACUACCUAGUGGGACAUUGUUUCUGUAACUAGGGUAACGGGGCUCUGUUUCUGUAACUGGGGUGACUGGGCUAACUGUGAUUGGUUAGGCUUCCCUCCGUUUGACUGCACUCUCCUGCUUCUGUAACCUGGCUUGCUUGCAUUGGCUAGAUCCCGGAACAUCCCUUUUGAGGUUUUCAGGCUUAUAAGGAGUGCCCUUGCAAUUGUUUGGGGCUGAUCAGGGGAACAGCUUUAUGUUCUGGUCAGUCACCACUGGUGUGCUUCAAUAAAGGCUUGAUUCGAUUAAA